This 1525-nucleotide ribosomal RNA is filed under the name Enterococcus faecalis. Its description in RNAcentral is "bacterial SSU rRNA". It matches the Rfam family "Bacterial small subunit ribosomal RNA". The record is from RNAcentral. Lineage: Bacteria; Bacillati; Bacillota; Bacilli; Lactobacillales; Enterococcaceae.
AGACUUUGAUUCUGGCUCAGGACGAACGCUGGCGGCGUGCCUAAUACAUGCAAGUCGAACGCUUCUUUCCUCCCGAGUGCUUGCACUCAAUUGGAAAGAGGAGUGGCGGACGGGUGAGUAACACGUGGGUAACCUACCCAUCAGAGGGGGAUAACACUUGGAAACAGGUGCUAAUACCGCAUAACAGUUUAUGCCGCAUGGCAUAAGAGUGAAAGGCGCUUUCGGGUGUCGCUGAUGGAUGGACCCGCGGUGCAUUAGCUAGUUGGUGAGGUAACGGCUCACCAAGGCCACGAUGCAUAGCCGACCUGAGAGGGUGAUCGGCCACACUGGGACUGAGACACGGCCCAGACUCCUACGGGAGGCAGCAGUAGGGAAUCUUCGGCAAUGGACGGAAGUCUGACCGAGCAACGCUGCGUGAGUGAAGAAGGUUUUCGGAUCGUAAAACUCUGUUGUUAGAGAAGAACAAGGACGUUAGUAACUGAACGUCCCCUGACGGUAUCUAACCAGAAAGCCACGGCUAACUACGUGCCAGCAGCCGCGGUAAUACGUAGGUGGCAAGCGUUGUCCGGAUUUAUUGGGCGUAAAGCGAGCGCAGGCGGUUUCUUAAGUCUGAUGUGAAAGCCCCCGGCUCAACCGGGGAGGGUCAUUGGAAACUGGGAGACUUGAGUGCAGAAGAGGAGAGUGGAAUUCCAUGUGUAGCGGUGAAAUGCGUAGAUAUAUGGAGGAACACCAGUGGCGAAGGCGGCUCUCUGGUCUGUAACUGACGCUGAGGCUCGAAAGCGUGGGGAGCAAACAGGAUUAGAUACCCUGGUAGUCCACGCCGUAAACGAUGAGUGCUAAGUGUUGGAGGGUUUCCGCCCUUCAGUGCUGCAGCAAACGCAUUAAGCACUCCGCCUGGGGAGUACGACCGCAAGGUUGAAACUCAAAGGAAUUGACGGGGGCCCGCACAAGCGGUGGAGCAUGUGGUUUAAUUCGAAGCAACGCGAAGAACCUUACCAGGUCUUGACAUCCUUUGACCACUCUAGAGAUAGAGCUUUCCCUUCGGGGACAAAGUGACAGGUGGUGCAUGGUUGUCGUCAGCUCGUGUCGUGAGAUGUUGGGUUAAGUCCCGCAACGAGCGCAACCCUUAUUGUUAGUUGCCAUCAUUUAGUUGGGCACUCUAGCGAGACUGCCGGUGACAAACCGGAGGAAGGUGGGGAUGACGUCAAAUCAUCAUGCCCCUUAUGACCUGGGCUACACACGUGCUACAAUGGGAAGUACAACGAGUCGCUAGACCGCGAGGUCAUGCAAAUCUCUUAAAGCUUCUCUCAGUUCGGAUUGCAGGCUGCAACUCGCCUGCAUGAAGCCGGAAUCGCUAGUAAUCGCGGAUCAGCACGCCGCGGUGAAUACGUUCCCGGGCCUUGUACACACCGCCCGUCACACCACGAGAGUUUGUAACACCCGAAGUCGGUGAGGUAACCUUUUUGGAGCCAGCCGCCUAAGGUGGGAUAGAUGAUUGGGGUGAAGUCGUAACAAGCUAGCCGUA